CUGCUGCCUCCGCGGUUACCGGCAACGUGACGCGGCGGUGCUUGCGGAGCGGCGCCGCCUCGCCCGGCGCUUCCUCCCGCUGUCAAGCAUCUUUCUGAAAUCAGGGCUGAAGAGCCAGCAUGCCACUAGUGGGAGAAGAAAAGAGAGCAGCACGUGGAGUUGCACAGAGAAUGAAACUG
Molecule: long non-coding RNA, 179 nt
Organism: Tyto alba (common barn owl)
Lineage: Eukaryota; Metazoa; Chordata; Aves; Strigiformes; Tytonidae
Exons: 2
Source: RefSeq, a predicted model, not a curated record